GAAAGGCUUGAUACCAGUCAUGUCGCUGAUGAUGAGCUUAGGGCUGUAAGCUCUCGAACGGGGAUGAUAUGACCGUAACCGGUAGAGGAGGCACGCUAAAAUCGUGCAGCAGGCGCGUAUAUGAAUGUGCAAGCGUGUCGAAUCACUGGGCGUAAAGAAUGCGUAGCGCUAGACAAGUCAGAGUGAAAUCCCAGGGCUCAACCCUGGAAACUGCUUUGAAACUGUCUUGCUAGAGUCCCGGAGGGGUGGGCGGAAAUUCCGAGUGUAGAGGUGAAAUUCGCAGAUAUUCGGAGGAACACCAGUGGCGUAGGCGGCCAACUGGACGGGAACUGACGCUGAGGCAUGAAAGUGUGGGGAGCAAACAGGAUUAGAUACCCUGGUAGUCCACACCGUAAACGAUGUGUGCUAGUUGUUGGGUGGCAUUGCCAUUCAGUGACGGAGCUAACGUUUUAAGCACACCGCCUGGGAAGUACGGCCGCAAGGUUAAAACUCAAAGGAAUUGACGGGGACCCGCACAAGCGGUGGAACAUGUCCUUUAAUUCGUAGCAACGCGAAGAACCUUACCUACCCUUGACAUGCCAGUUGGGAUUUCCAGAGAUGGAUUUCUUCAUUUAGUUGGACUGGACACAGGUGCUGCAUGGCUGUCGUCAGCUCGUGUCGUGAGAUGUUGGGUUAAGUCCCGCAACGAGCGCAACCCUCGUCGUCUGUUGCCAGCAUUUAGUUGGGCACUCAGAUGAGACUGCCGGUGACAAGCCGGAGGAAGGUGGGGAUGACGUCAUGUCAUCAUGGCCCUUACGGGUAGGGCUAGAGACGUGUUACAAUGGUGGUGACAGUGGGUUGCAAGGUCGUGAGGCCGAGCUAAUCCCUAAAAGCCAUCUCAGUUCGGAUUGUACUCUGCAACUCGAGUACAUGAAGUUGGAAUCGCUAGUAAUCGUAGAUCAGCACGCUACGGUGAAUACGUUCCCGGGCCUUGUACACACCGCCCGUCAAGUCAUGGGAGUCGGUUUUGCCUGAAGGUAGUGAGCUAACCGCAAGGAGGCAGCUAACCACGGCAGGGCUGGUGACUGGGACUAAGUCGUAACAAGGUAACCGUAA
RNAcentral lists this ribosomal RNA (1095 nucleotides) under uncultured Alphaproteobacteria bacterium. RNAcentral describes it as "bacterial SSU rRNA". It matches the Rfam family "Bacterial small subunit ribosomal RNA", at positions 377 to 1505 of the family's 1533-position model. The record is from RNAcentral. Lineage: Bacteria; Pseudomonadati; Pseudomonadota; Alphaproteobacteria.